RNAcentral lists this ribosomal RNA (496 nucleotides) under uncultured bacterium. RNAcentral's name for it is "partial 16S ribosomal RNA". It matches the Rfam family "Bacterial small subunit ribosomal RNA", at positions 28 to 506 of the family's 1533-position model. The record is from RNAcentral.
GAUGAACGCUGGCGGCGUGCCUAAUACAUGCAAGUCGAGCGAACAGACGAGGAGCUUGCUCCUCUGACGUUAGCGGCGGACGGGUGAGUAACACGUGGAUAACCUACCUAUAAGACUGGGAUAACUUCGGGAAACCGGAGCUAAUACCGGAUAAUAUAUUGAACCGCAUGGUUCAAUAGUGAAAGACGGUUUUGCUGUCACUUAUAGAUGGAUCCGCGCCGCAUUAGCUAGUUGGUAAGGUAACGGCUUACCAAGGCAACGAUGCGUAGCCGACCUGAGAGGGUGAUCGGCCACACUGGAACUGAGACACGGUCCAGACUCCUACGGGAGGCAGCAGUAGGGAAUCUUCCGCAAUGGGCGAAAGCCUGACGGAGCAACGCCGCGUGAGUGAUGAAGGUCUUCGGAUCGUAAAACUCUGUUAUUAGGGAAGAACAAAUGUGUAAGUACCUAUGCAAGUCUUGACGGUACCUAAUAAGAAAGCCACGGCUAACUACGU